This 960-nucleotide unclassified non-coding RNA is filed under the name Hevea brasiliensis (rubber tree). Lineage: Eukaryota; Viridiplantae; Streptophyta; Magnoliopsida; Malpighiales; Euphorbiaceae. The record is from RNAcentral.
CUAGAGUCCCAAAAAUUAUUUCACGAAUUUUCCCCCGGGUUUAGAGCUUUUAGCUGUGAAAACAGCAACUUCCCGUUAACUUACCCAUCGCUAGGGCACCGACUCAUUUAACUUUGUUGUAUUUUAUUUUUAAAAUUUUUUCUUAAUUUUUUUUACACUUAUUUGAAUUAUUUAUGACUUCUCACUCUAGUUUACAUAUAGUUCCAGACAUUCUAAUUGUCCAGACCGACAUUGGUCACCGAAAAUAGUAGAACGUACGGACUAUCUAAAAUGAGGGUGUUAUAAUUCUUUCCCUCUAAUAAAAAUUUCAUCCUCGAAAUUUACCUGAUGUGCAAUUUAGCUCAAGAACCCUAAUUCUCAAAUUUCAAUUCAUACUCAUGUUCAAGACCACCCAUAUACAACUUAAAUUCAUUCAAAACUCAUCAACAUUUCUAUCACUAAGGCUGUCGAAAAUUUUAGUUGGUCCAUACAUGUAUGUUCUUUUAAUUUUAUGAAUUUUUAACUAAAUCCAUACACCUAACUUCAAAUUUAAAGAGAAAAAUGGAGAGAUAUAGCACUAACCUUUUGAUGAGCUAACUUGAGCUUGUAAUUCUUCACUAAUAUUAAUCCUUACCACUAGAGCAAGCUUGAGGCAACAAUUUGAAGAAGAAAUAGAGGAAGGGGUUUUAUGGUAUGAAAUUAAGGUUAUGAAGAGAGAGAAAUGAGAAAACUCUAAUGGAGGUUGAGAGGAGAAGAUGAGCAUAAAAUUUUUCAUUUUCUUUAGUUUUUUAUCCUUUUAAGAUGCUUGUUAAACUCCUAUUGGUUGGCAAUUUAAUUUAUUGUAAAUUUAUUAUCAAACUCAAAUUCUGGACUUAAUCUAAUGGAAUUGUCCACCAAAGUCAGGACACCAAAUCUGAUAGAACCAAUUCUGCCCAGAAAUUCUAAGUAUAGAUGUCAAUCCAGCCAGUUAUGGUAAAAUAG